AACGAACGCUGGCGGCAGGCCUAACACAUGCAAGUCGAGCGCACCUUCGGGUGAGCGGCGGACGGGUUAGUAACGCGUGGGAAUAUGCCCUUCACUACGGAAUAGCCUCGGGAAACUGAGAGUAAUACCGUAUACGCCCUUCGGGGGAAAGAUUUAUCGGUGAAGGAUUAGCCCGCGUCUGAUUAGAUAGUUGGUGGGGUAACGGCCUACCAAGUCUACGAUCAGUAGCUGGUUUGAGAGGAUGAUCAGCAACACUGGGACUGAGACACGGCCCAGACUCCUACGGGAGGCAGCAGUGGGGAAUCUUAGACAAUGGGCGCAAGCCUGAUCUAGCCAUGCCGCGUGAGUGACGAAGGCCUUAGGGUCGUAAAGCUCUUUCGCCAGAGAUGAUAAUGACAGUAUCUGGUAAAGAAACCCCGGCUAACUCCGUGCCAGCAGCCGCGGUAAUACGGAGGGGGUUAGCGUUGUUCGGAAUUACUGGGCGUAAAGCGUACGUAGGCGGAUUGGAAAGUUGGGGGUGAAAUCCCGGGGCUCAACCCCGGAACUGCCUCCAAAACUAUCAGUCUAGAGUUCGAGAGAGGUGAGUGGAAUUCCAAGUGUAGAGGUGAAAUUCGUAGAUAUUUGGAGGAACACCAGUGGCGAAGGCGGCUCACUGGCUCGAUACUGACGCUGAGGUACGAAAGUGUGGGGAGCAAACAGGAUUAGAUACCCUGGUAGUCCACACCGUAAACGAUGAAUGCCAGACGUCGGGGGGCUUGCCCUUCGGUGUCACACCUAACGGAUUAAGCAUUCCGCCUGGGGAGUACGGUCGCAAGAUUA
This 819-nucleotide ribosomal RNA is filed under the name uncultured bacterium. Its description in RNAcentral is "bacterial SSU rRNA". It matches the Rfam family "Bacterial small subunit ribosomal RNA", at positions 28 to 896 of the family's 1533-position model. The record is from RNAcentral.